AUAUUAAACUUGUUGCAGUUAAAAAGCUCGUAGUUGAAUGUCAGCGUUUUCGCGUUUCCGCGUUUUCGCUUUUGUCGUUACUUUGAGAAAAUUAGAGUGUUUCAAGCAGGCUUUCGCCUUGAAUACUUCAGCAUGGAAUAAUAGAGUAGGACCUUGGUUCUUCUUUGUUGGUUUAGAUGCCAUGGUAAUGGUUAAUAGGAACGGUUGGGGGCAUUCGUAUUUGACUGUCAGAGGUGAAAUUCUUAGAUUUGUCAAAGACGAACGAGUGCGAAAGCAUUUGCCAAGGACGUUUCCAUUAAUCAAGAACGAAAGUUAGGGGAUCGAAGACGAUCAGAUACCGUCGUAGUCCUAACCAUAAACUAUGCC
RNAcentral lists this ribosomal RNA (366 nucleotides) under Babesia sp. RNAcentral's name for it is "bacterial SSU rRNA". It matches the Rfam family "Eukaryotic small subunit ribosomal RNA", at positions 601 to 1043 of the family's 1831-position model. Lineage: Eukaryota; Apicomplexa; Aconoidasida; Piroplasmida; Babesiidae. The record is from RNAcentral.